UAAUAAGUGGUUAUGGCACUUCUUAAAUCCAUAUCCACCUUGUGUGCAAUGUCAGCCGUUUUCUUUAUGAAAGCGGCAAACAUCAACUUAUUUUUUAACUGUCUGUCUGAAAACUAUUAUGAAUAAACAAUUCAAAUA
RNAcentral lists this unclassified non-coding RNA (138 nucleotides) under soil metagenome. Its description in RNAcentral is "partial internal transcribed spacer 1". The record is from RNAcentral.